RNAcentral lists this ribosomal RNA (465 nucleotides) under uncultured bacterium. RNAcentral's name for it is "bacterial SSU rRNA". It matches the Rfam family "Bacterial small subunit ribosomal RNA", at positions 36 to 518 of the family's 1533-position model. The record is from RNAcentral.
CUGGCGGCGUGCUUAACACAUGCAAGUCGAGCGAUGAAGCUCCUCGGGAGUGAAUAGCGGCGGACGGGUGAGUAACACGUGGGUAACCUGCCUCAUAGAGGGGAAUAGCCUUUCGAAAGGAAGAUUAAUACCGCAUAAGAUUGUAGUACCGCAUGGUACAGCAAUUAAAGGAGUAAUCCGCUAUGAGAUGGACCCGCGUCGCAUUAGCUAGUUGGUGAGGUAACGGCUCACCAAGGCGACGAUGCGUAGCCGACCUGAGAGGGUGAUCGGCCACAUUGGGACUGAGACACGGCCCAGACUCCUACGGGAGGCAGCAGUGGGGAAUAUUGCACAAUGGGGGAAACCCUGAUGCAGCAAACCGCCGCGUGAGUGAUGACGGUCUUCGGAUUGUAAAGCUCUGUCUUCAGGGACGAUAAUGACGGUACCUGAGGAGGAAGCCACGGCUAACUACGUGCCAGCCGCAGC